UACGGAGGGGGCUAGCGUUGUUCGGAAUUACUGGGCGUAAAGCGCACGUAGGCGGCUUUGUAAGUUAGAGGUGAAAGCCCGGGGCUCAACCCCGGAAUUGCCUUUGAGACUGCAUCGCUAGAAUUGUGGAGAGGUAAGUGGAAUUCCGAGUGUAGAGGUGAAAUUCGUAGAUAUUCGGAAGAACACCAGUGGCGAAGGCGACUUACUGGACACAUAUUGACGCUGAGGUGCGAAAGCGUGGGGAGCAAACAGG
RNAcentral lists this ribosomal RNA (253 nucleotides) under uncultured bacterium. RNAcentral's name for it is "partial 16S ribosomal RNA". It matches the Rfam family "Bacterial small subunit ribosomal RNA", at positions 524 to 776 of the family's 1533-position model. The record is from RNAcentral.